CUAUGGGGUUUUACAAUGAACUUUGGAGCGUUUUCCCUCACUACUCAGUGGUUAGGGCUUAAGCUGCUUGUGGUGAGGUGUUCUCUAGGGUUUUAGAGAAAGCGCUCAAAUUAGCACAAUUCUCUGAAACAAGUGUCACCAGAGAAAUGGGUUUCUGGGGAAUCGAAGUGAAACCCGGAAAACCUCAUCCUUAUCAUUCUGAUAAUGUGCAAGGAACGCUUCAUGUAACUCAGGCAACUUUAGGCCUUGGUUCGUCAGCAGAAAAGACCAUACUUCAAUGCUCCGUAGGAGAUAAAAUUCCAAUUUUCUUAUGCUCUUUAUUGCCAAAUAAGAACGAAUCUUGCUCCUUGAAUCUUGAAUUUGAUGAGGAUGAUUUGGUAGCCUUCUCAGUAAUUGGUCCACGAAGCAUCCAUCUAUCUGGUUACUUUGUGGCUGAUGAUGGAGAUCACCUUCGAGAUGAAUAUGAUUCUGAUUCGUAUGGGGAGGAUAUCAUGGAGAUUAAUACAGAUGACUCCUCUGAAUUUGAUACCGGAGAUGAGUAUGAGGAUGACUUUGCUGAUGAUGAUGAUGACUUAUUCCCACCUUCAACUAUCCGUAAUAGUGGAGUUGUGAUUGAGGAGAUAGUGGAUGAUGAGAAACCCAUGAAUGGGAACAAUCAACCAAAACGACUAAAGAAAAAGGAUCAAUCAAGUAACUCUGAGCAACAAAUUGUUGUCAAGAGUGGUGCCGGUGUCUCAGUCUUGGAAAGUGAAGAUGAAGAUGGCUUUCCGAUUUCUAGCUCAUGUAAAAGCAAAGGAAUUUCUCAAGAUUCCCAAGUGGGAGAGGAUGAAGUGACAGAUAAGAAAACAAGUGAAAACUCUGAGAAGAAGAAAGGCAUAGGCAGCAGUGAUGAUGGUACUGGGAAAAAAAGAAAAGUUGAAAGUGUGGACCAAGAUGAUCAACCAGAGAAAAAAAAGAAGAAGAAAAAGAAAAAAGAAAAGGGUGAACGGGGACAAAUUAAUAAAGCUGUUAUUAGUGAUGAGAUUGAGGAUCUCUCAGAGGGAAAAAAUCAACAGGAGUUGAAGAGCCACAACAUGAACCAGAAGAACCUUGGCAAUGAUGCAGAGAAUGUGCCUGAUGAAAAUUACCCUGGGAAGAAAAAAAAGAAACAAAAGAAGAAGAAGUCCCAGGAAAGUGAAGGGGACAGGAAAACUGACCAGACUGUUUCACCCAUGCAAGAACAAGCUGUGUCUGAACCAUCUCAAGUGAGAUCAUUUCCAAAUGGAUUGGUUAUUGAGGAGGUAGCAAUGGGAAAGCCAGAUGGAAAAAGAGCUUCUAAUGGAAAACAGGUCAGCGUCCACUACAUUGGAAAACUGAAAAACGGGAAAAUAUUUGACUCAAACGUGGGCAGAGCACCCUUUAAAUUCCGCCUAGGCAUAGGGCAAGUGAUUAAGGGAUGGGAUGUUGGGGUCAAUGGCAUGCGUGUGGGGGACAAACGAAGACUUACAAUUCCACCAUCAAUGGGUUAUGGGGCAAAAGGUGCCGGGGGAAAGAUACCACCAAAUUCGUGGCUUGUGUUUGAUGUGGAGUUGGUUGAUGUUCGAUAAACAGGCUGUUCUUUUUUCUCUUUCCUCCAGUUUUGAAGCUCUUCACUGUUUUAGUAGCUGACAGGUGGAAUUGUGACAGUUGGAUAUUAUGAAGAUUAAGUUGAAAGAACUGGUGAUGGAUAUGGAGAAGUGUGUUCUUGGCCAGUGCAAGAGUUUGCUUUGUCUAACCGUAGGUUGUGUUAUUUGAGUUCAAAUAAUGCGAGGUUGGGUUAGGUCCAACCUCAUAGCUUUGCCAAGUGAUGUGAACCUCGGUCAUGUUCAUUGGCCGUUUUGAAUUUGUUAAAGCUGGUAGUGUCACUGUGAUCAUUGAUUGGCAAAUCAAAGGUUGAUGUUUUUGGAAGGUUUCUGAGAAAUUCUUUAGAGUGGUUUUGUUGAAGUUUUGGUAGUGGAUCUUGUUCAAUCCACACUAGUUUUAACUGAAAUUGAAGCUGGAUUUAGGGCAGGCUCAGCUUCUACUAGGAGAAGAAACUUAAAAAAAUGGAAAUAAAAAUUGAACUCUUUAUAACUUUAGAAA
RNA transcript from Mangifera indica (mango), 2100 nucleotides. It is a transcript of the gene named peptidyl-prolyl cis-trans isomerase FKBP53-like, with no coding region annotated. The transcript has 12 exons. NCBI's taxonomy places the organism in Eukaryota, Viridiplantae, Streptophyta, Magnoliopsida, Sapindales, Anacardiaceae. The record is from RefSeq and is a predicted model, not a curated record.